Molecule: transfer RNA, 75 nt
Filed under: Planctomycetota bacterium
Lineage: Bacteria; Pseudomonadati; Planctomycetota
Also listed under: 1 other name
Description: tRNA-Asn
Rfam family: tRNA
About the family: Transfer RNA (tRNA) molecules are approximately 80 nucleotides in length. Their secondary structure includes four short double-helical elements and three loops (D, anti-codon, and T loops).
Source: RNAcentral
UCCCCGGUAGCUCAAUGGUAGAGUAGGUGGCUGUUAACCACUUGGUUGUAGGUUCGAAUCCUACCCGGGGAGCCA